This 274-nucleotide ribosomal RNA is filed under the name uncultured bacterium. Its description in RNAcentral is "partial 16S ribosomal RNA". It matches the Rfam family "Bacterial small subunit ribosomal RNA", at positions 523 to 796 of the family's 1533-position model. The record is from RNAcentral.
AUACAGAGGGUGCGAGCGUUAAUCGGAAUUACUGGGCGUAAAGCGCGCGUAGGCGGCUUGGUCAGUCGGAUGUGAAAGCCCCGGGCUCAACCUGGGAAUGGCAUUCGAUACUGCCAGGCUAGAGUAUGGGAGAGGGAAGUGGAAUUUCCGGUGUAGCGGUGAAAUGCGUAGAUAUCGGAAGGAACACCAGUGGCGAAGGCGACUUCCUGGCCAAAUACUGACGCUGAGGUGCGAAAGCGUGGGGAGCGAACAGGAUUAGAAACCCUUGUAGUCC